AAAUUGAAGAGUUUGAUCAUGGCUCAGAUUGAACGCUGGCGGCAGGCCUAACACAUGCAAGUCGAACGGUAACAGGAAGCAGCUUGCUGCUUCGCUGACGAGUGGCGGACGGGUGAGUAAUGUCUGGGAAACUGCCUGAUGGAGGGGGAUAACUACUGGAAACGGUGGCUAAUACCGCAUAACGUCGCAAGACCAAAGAGGGGGACCUUCGGGCCUCUUGCCAUCAGAUGUGCCCAGAUGGGAUUAGCUUGUUGGUGAGGUAACGGCUCACCAAGGCGACGAUCCCUAGCUGGUCUGAGAGGAUGACCAGCCACACUGGAACUGAGACACGGUCCAGACUCCUACGGGAGGCAGCAGUGGGGAAUAUUGCACAAUGGGCGCAAGCCUGAUGCAGCCAUGCCGCGUGUAUGAAGAAGGCCUUCGGGUUGUAAAGUACUUUCAGCGGGGAGGAAGGUGUUGUGGUUAAUAACCGCAGCAAUUGACGUUACCCGCAGAAGAAGCACCGGCUAACUCCGUGCCAGCAGCCGCGGUAAUACGGAGGGUGCAAGCGUUAAUCGGAAUUACUGGGCGUAAAGCGCACGCAGGCGGUCUGUCAAGUCGGAUGUGAAAUCCCCGGGCUCAACCUGGGAACUGCAUUCGAAACUGGCAGGCUUGAGUCUUGUAGAGGGGGGUAGAAUUCCAGGUGUAGCGGUGAAAUGCGUAGAGAUCUGGAGGAAUACCGGUGGCGAAGGCGGCCCCCUGGACAAAGACUGACGCUCAGGUGCGAAAGCGUGGGGAGCAAACAGGAUUAGAUACCCUGGUAGUCCACGCCGUAAACGAUGUCUACUUGGAGGUUGUGCCCUUGAGGCGUGGCUUCCGGAGCUAACGCGUUAAGUAGACCGCCUGGGGAGUACGGCCGCAAGGUUAAAACUCAAAUGAAUUGACGGGGGCCCGCACAAGCGGUGGAGCAUGUGGUUUAAUUCGAUGCAACGCGAAGAACCUUACCUGGUCUUGACAUCCACAGAACUUUCCAGAGAUGGAUUGGUGCCUUCGGGAACUGUGAGACAGGUGCUGCAUGGCUGUCGUCAGCUCGUGUUGUGAAAUGUUGGGUUAAGUCCCGCAACG
RNAcentral lists this ribosomal RNA (1104 nucleotides) under Salmonella enterica. RNAcentral's name for it is "bacterial SSU rRNA". It matches the Rfam family "Bacterial small subunit ribosomal RNA", at positions 1 to 1094 of the family's 1533-position model. The record is from RNAcentral. Lineage: Bacteria; Pseudomonadati; Pseudomonadota; Gammaproteobacteria; Enterobacterales; Enterobacteriaceae.